UGUAGGCGUAUACCAAAGUUGUUGCAGUUAAAACGCUCGUAGUCGAAUUUUGGUGUGAGUUAUGGAGACUCCUACUGGAUGUUGAAGUAACUUCGCCUUUGUGGAGGGGGGUGUGGUGGUACUUUAUUGUAUUGCUGCAUUUCCGCCACUGUUUACUGUGAAAAAAUUAGAGUGUUCAAAGCGAGCGUUUGCCAUGAAUACAUUAGCAUGGAAUAAUAGAAUAGGACCUGGUUCUGUUUUAUUGGUUUGUCUGUAUCAGGUAAUGAUUAACAGGGACGGUCGGGGGUAUUUGUAUUCCAGCGUUAGAGGUGAAAUUCUUGGAUCGCUGGAAGACAGACAGCUGCGAAAGCGUCUACCAAGGACGUUUUCAUUGA
This 374-nucleotide ribosomal RNA is filed under the name uncultured eukaryote. RNAcentral describes it as "partial 18S ribosomal RNA". It matches the Rfam family "Eukaryotic small subunit ribosomal RNA", at positions 592 to 976 of the family's 1831-position model. The record is from RNAcentral.